Long non-coding RNA from Dromiciops gliroides (monito del monte), 457 nucleotides. RefSeq lists it as uncharacterized. The record is from RefSeq and is a predicted model, not a curated record. The transcript is spliced from 3 exons. NCBI's taxonomy places the organism in Eukaryota, Metazoa, Chordata, Mammalia, Microbiotheria, Microbiotheriidae.
CAGGUCCUCCCCUUACCAGUCUUGGACUGGCUCCAAGUGGAAACCAGGAGAUGUUAAGAAAGUCAGAUUGGAGACAAUCAGAGACGUUAAUAGAGCCAGUUGCCUAAAUAUUUACCAGCGUACUCCUGACUGAGAGAAAGGUAAAAUUUAGAGAGCCAGUUGCUAAAUAUUUACCAGCGCACUCCUGACUGAGAGAAAGGCUACACCCUACAUCAAGGGAUUCUCUGGGUUACCAUCUACUAACAACCACAGCUCAUGGGCCCCUGUCUCCAAUCAAGAGAUGGAGUGUCUUGUUCGAGGAACAAAAAAGGAGGCCAAUGUCAUUAGACUGAAAAGAAUAUGAUGGCAUAUAAGGUGUAAGAAGACCAGAAAGGCAGAGGGAGACAGGAUAUUUUGGUUAAAAGUAAGGAAGAAUUAUCUAGCAGAAAGUUGCUUAGUGCCCCUGAAAUUGUAGCUU